Molecule: transfer RNA, 68 nt
Filed under: Marmota monax (woodchuck)
Lineage: Eukaryota; Metazoa; Chordata; Mammalia; Rodentia; Sciuridae
Description: tRNA.Ala
Source: RNAcentral
GUGGUGGCUCAGUGGUAGAGCUCUAGCCUAGCACACGUGAAGCACGGGGUUCAAUCCUCAGCACCACA